AGCAGCCGCGGUAAUUCCAGCUCCAAUAGCGUAUAUUAAAGUUGUUGCGGUUAAAAAGCUCGUAGUUGAAUUUCGGGAUCAAUUUAUCGGUCGUGCCAAUGGUAUGAACUGGUACAAUUGGUCUCUCCCUUCUGAAGAACCAUGAUGUCAUUAAUUUGGUGUUGUGGGGAAUCAGGACUGUUACUUUGAAAAAAUUAGAGUGUUUAAAGCAGGCUUAGGCUUGAAUACAUUAGCAUGGAAUAAUGAAAUAGGACGCUUUGAUCCUAUUUCGUUGGUUUCUAGGAUCGACGUAAUAAUUAAUAGGGAUAGUUGGGGGCAUUAGUAUUCAAUUGUCAGAGGUGAAAUUCUUGGAUUUAUUGAAGACUAACUACUGCGAAAGCAUUUGCCAAGGAUGUUUUCAUUAAUCAAGAACGAAAGUUAGGGGAUCGAAGACGAUCAGAUACCGUCGUAGUCUUAACCAUAAACUAUGCCGACUAGGGAUCGGAUGAUGUUAAUUUUUAAAUGACUCA
This 509-nucleotide ribosomal RNA is filed under the name uncultured fungus. Its description in RNAcentral is "SSU rRNA". It matches the Rfam family "Eukaryotic small subunit ribosomal RNA", at positions 569 to 1078 of the family's 1831-position model. Lineage: Eukaryota; Fungi. The record is from RNAcentral.